Humulus lupulus (European hop) is the source of this 574-nucleotide long non-coding RNA. RefSeq lists it as uncharacterized. The record is from RefSeq and is a predicted model, not a curated record. The transcript is spliced from 2 exons. NCBI's taxonomy places the organism in Eukaryota, Viridiplantae, Streptophyta, Magnoliopsida, Rosales, Cannabaceae.
UUUGUAAUUAGUAAGUUAUACAUCAGCCUCUCUAGCAUGCUAUUGCUUAAAUUUUCAUGUUUUAAAUCAAACAAGGUGUGGUUGCAUUAAAGCUCAUUAUUUCUUUCUCGAAUCCACAUACUGUCCAAUGGGGUUUGAAUCUUAAUUAGCCAUCUCAAUACUGACUUGAACAAAUAAGCUCCAACAUUUUUUUUGGCCCUAAGAGCAUGAUAAUCUCCACUCUUACAUUUGUUUUUAAGUUGCUGAAAUAUUGUUAAGAAAAAUUUCAGGUGUGUGCUUUUGUUCUUACUUGGACUAUGUGACAAUUGGAAGAUGUUUCGGCUAGAAAAGCAAAGAAUAAUUGGCCUUCUGUGAUGUUUGCAAUGGCAGGAGGGGUGGUACUUAGCCUUGGAAAUCUCUCAACUCAGUAUGCUUGAGCUUUUGUUGGCUUAUCAGUCACAGAAGUGAUCACUGCAAGCAUAAUAGUUGUUAUAAGUCCUUUCUUUCAUUCUCUCUCUCUCUCUGACCAUUUCUAAAUGUUGAUGUUUGUUUGUGUUGCUCUUAUAGAUACUGAAUUUUUUGCUUCUGUUGCGAU